AUGUCGUGGAUGCCUCCCUAUGCUCAUAUAGAAUCAUAUCCAUCAUGGGACAGGUAUGAUACAAGGGCACAUUCUCCAUCUUAUUUUAGACCAUCUCACCAAUAUUAUGCAGCCCCGAGAAGAUCAACAUUUGAACAAUCACAUGUUAAAGACCGUUUCAAUCAUAAGGAAUCGGUCCAGAGCUCAAGGAAGAAGAAAGAGAUGGUCAAGCAAGUUUACCGUGUUAAAAGAGAUGGUCGUAAUAGUGCAACUUUAGAUUUGAUCUCAAGUGAAAAAGAGCCAAUUAAAGUGUUGACAUUGGCUACUAAAGGCAAUGAGACAAAGAAACCAAUUAUUGAGAUUCAAAGUGCCAAAUCUGAAGAAAAGAAGUUGAGAGUGCAUAAGGCCAAAAAGGAAUUGCCAUUGGUCAAAAAAGAAUCAUAG
Molecule: ribosomal RNA, 423 nt
Filed under: Triticum aestivum (bread wheat)
Lineage: Eukaryota; Viridiplantae; Streptophyta; Magnoliopsida; Poales; Poaceae
Description: partial small subunit ribosomal RNA
Source: RNAcentral